ACGAACGCUGGCGGCAGGCCUAACACAUGCAAGUCGAGCGCACCCUUCGGGGUGAGCGGCGGACGGGUGAGUAACGCGUGGGAACGUGCCCUUCUCUGCGGAAUAGCCUCGGGAAACUGAGAGUAAUACCGCAUACGCCCUUUGGGGGAAAGAUUUAUCGGAGAAGGAUCGGCCCGCGUUGGAUUAGGUAGUUGGUGGGGUAAUGGCCCACCAAGCCGACGAUCCAUAGCUGGUUUGAGAGGAUGAUCAGCCACACUGGGACUGAGACACGGCCCAGACCUCUACGGGAGGCAGCAGUGGGGAAUCUUAGACAAUUGGGGCAACCCUGAUCUAGCCAUGCCGCGUGAGUGAUGAAGGCCUUAGGGUUGUAAAGCUCUUUCAGCUGGGAAGAUAAUGACGGUACCAGCAGAAGAAGCCCCGGCUAACUCCGUG
This 432-nucleotide ribosomal RNA is filed under the name uncultured bacterium. RNAcentral's name for it is "partial 16S ribosomal RNA". It matches the Rfam family "Bacterial small subunit ribosomal RNA", at positions 29 to 507 of the family's 1533-position model. The record is from RNAcentral.